ACGUCGCAAGUCUCCAUCCUCCGAAGCCCCUCGCCCCAAUCCAGUAUUCCCCGUCUCCCUCCGGGUCUCCCGAGAAAAAUCGUCGCCGCCCAUCUGCCCCAUGGCCGCGGACAAAGCACUCUGCCAAUGCCAUCGGCGCUGCUUCAAUGGGCUUGUACUCUGACUUAGAUCACGAGUUUGAUGAGGGCCUCAACCUGGUCCGCCAUUCCUGUAUCAUCACGGGUGACGCUGUUGUGCACAGCUCUCCUCCUACCUUGAUGCCGCUGGGAUCCACAACCCACCGGAAAGGAGUAGCGGCGCCCUCACAGGUUGGACCACUCCCGGAUCCGUCGCCGCCUGCACAGCCAGGACGGGCCGACCACCGAGGGCAUCUUCCUCCACCACUUGUGAUGAGUGGCCGAGCCAUGGAGCGGAGGCGGCGGGGAGUAUUGAUUAUAUUGGAAGGCCAAGGGAUUAUUUCUGCACGAGGAUGUAUUUGGGAGAGAUUUUGAGUGGCUGCUACUACUGGAUGCAAUUGUUGGAAUUGUCAGAUAUUGAAGGAGUCUCAACAUUGAUGGUUAGUUCCUGCCGAGAUUUGUGAAAUACUUAAGAACUACAAGAAUUUUCAUACAGCUCCGGUUUAGGCAAACGGAUGGAGUACUUUGCUUUUGCAUCAUAUGUUUUUAAUGGCUUGGAGUUCAUCCUCCGCCACACUAACGACGACCCAAUGCCAUGGUGGUGGAGACCACAACAGAUGUCAAGGCAGAGGAGAGUGUUUACAUUUUUUUCCUGGCAGUGAGUGUUUACACAAUCUAGACAUGUCUAUGAUGCUGGCUCCAGCCAGAUUUGGGGACUAUUAACCAAAAUAUUGAUCGCAACAAAUUAGUCUGGAUAAUAAAUUAUGUAUUUAGCUUCUCUAUAAGCGGCACCAGUGAGAAUGUGCAUGCGCUAGACAAUUCAAUUUUAAUGAAUGCAUGCAAACUGAAUUAUGUAUUAGUUUGAGCACGUCAUUGAAAAGAUGGUUCUUCUCUA
Triticum dicoccoides is the source of this 1011-nucleotide long non-coding RNA. RefSeq lists it as uncharacterized. The record is from RefSeq and is a predicted model, not a curated record. Lineage: Eukaryota; Viridiplantae; Streptophyta; Magnoliopsida; Poales; Poaceae. The transcript has 3 exons.